Molecule: ribosomal RNA, 305 nt
Filed under: uncultured bacterium
Lineage: Bacteria
Description: partial 16S ribosomal RNA
Rfam family: Bacterial small subunit ribosomal RNA
Source: RNAcentral
ACAGCAGCCGCCACGGGAAUACGUAGGGUGCAAGCGUUAAUCGGAAUUACUGGGCGUAAAGCGUGCGCAGGCGGUUAUAUAAGACAGAUGUGAAAUCCCCGGGCUCAACCUGGGAACUGCAUUUGUGACUGUAUAGCUAGAGUACGGCAGAGGGGGAUGGAAUUCCGCGUGUAGCAGUGAAAUGCGUAGAUAUGCGGAGGAACACCGAUGGCGAAGGCAAUCCCCUGGGCCUGUACUGACGCUCAUGCACGAAAGCGUGGGGAGCAAACAGGAUUAGAUACCCGCGUAGUCCCUGUCUCUUAUAC